RNAcentral lists this ribosomal RNA (620 nucleotides) under uncultured bacterium. RNAcentral's name for it is "bacterial SSU rRNA". It matches the Rfam family "Bacterial small subunit ribosomal RNA", at positions 445 to 1056 of the family's 1533-position model. The record is from RNAcentral.
AAGAAAAACGGGGUGUGAACAGCACUUCGUCUUGACGUUACCCACAGAAGAAGCACCGGCUAACUCCGUGCCAGCAGCCGCGGUAAUACGGAGGGUGCGAGCGUUAAUCGGAAUUACUGGGCGUAAAGGGCGCGUAGGCGGUUGGGUAAGUCGGGUGUGAAAGCCCUGGGCUUAACCUGGGAAUGGCAUUCGAGACUACCUAUCUAGAGUCUGGUAGAGGGAAGUGGAAUUUCCGGUGUAGCGGUGAAAUGUGUAGAUAUCGGAAGGAACACCAGUGGCGAAGGCGACUUCCUGGACCAAGACUGACGCUGAGGCGCGAAAGCGUGGGGAUCAAACAGGAUUAGAUACCCUGGUAGUCCACGCCCUAAACGAUGAGAACUGGCCGUUGGGGGAGUUAAAUCCCUGAGUGGCUCAGCUAACGCGAUAAGUUCUCCGCCUGGGGAGUACGGCCGCAAGGUUAAAACUCAAAGGAAUUGACGGGGGCCCGCACAAGCGGUGGAGCAUGUGGUUUAAUUCGAUGCAACGCGAAGAACCUUACCUGGCCUUGACAUCUGCGGAACCUGGGAGAGAUCUCGGGGUGCCUUCGGGAACCGCAAGACAGGUGCUGCAUGGCUGUCGUC